Molecule: ribosomal RNA, 253 nt
Filed under: Trichoderma harzianum
Lineage: Eukaryota; Fungi; Ascomycota; Sordariomycetes; Hypocreales; Hypocreaceae
Description: partial 18S ribosomal RNA
Source: RNAcentral
AAAAAAAAAAAAAAUUUGUCUUGGGUUCUCUAGGCAAAAUUUUAAAGUAAGUAAAAUUUUCCGAAUCGCUCGCGGUUUCCAAAUCUAUAUUUUUUGGCCGUCCCAUAUUUUUUUAUAAACAAAGCAGCCGCAAAGCCCGACGCUGCGUGGGCCCCGUCUCUAGGGCGGCUCCGUUGUCAAACAUUGCAAGUGUAACCCAAACCCUCAAAUUUGAGUAUUACUAAAAGGCAUCCACUUGGACGCCUCCCUAGUA